GUGCUUUCUUUGGCAGCACAUAUACUAAAAUUGGAACGAUACAGACAAGAUUAGCAUGGCCCCUGCACAAGGAUGAGGAAAGUUACAGACAUUAAAAACCAUUUCUC
This is a small nuclear RNA of Sorex fumeus (smoky shrew), 107 nucleotides long. Lineage: Eukaryota; Metazoa; Chordata; Mammalia; Eulipotyphla; Soricidae. The record is from RefSeq and is a predicted model, not a curated record.